GAGGGUGCAAGCGUUAUCCGGAUUCACUGGGUUUAAAGGGUGCGUAGCGGGCAGGUAAGUCCGUGGUGAAAUCUCUGAGCUUAUCAAAAUGCAU
Molecule: ribosomal RNA, 94 nt
Filed under: uncultured bacterium
Lineage: Bacteria
Description: partial 16S ribosomal RNA
Source: RNAcentral